AGGAUUUUCGAAGUUAUUGUUUCUGCUUCCAAUGAUGAAUGGUUCUUCAGCAAACCUGGUGGUCAUUGCAACAUUAGUGUUGCUUCUUAUGGGGGAUCGCCUAGCAACUUGUGGACUUCUUCCUCACGUGAUAUUGAUCAACAAGUAAUACCCGUUCGCCGCAGCCUUAGGCCAGUGACUGGGUCGAAGCCGUCUUCACCUGAUAGAAAUCCAAGACCAGGAAUGGGCCGUUAGAAUUUAGUGUUGUGUUGUAAGUUAUUGGCCUAGUUUUACAUUAUAUUGGACUUGGGAGUCUUUGUACAAGCUACUUAGAGCUGGGUUUUAUUUGUUAAUUUAGUCAGUUUUUUCGUUUUCCCACGGGAGCUGAAAAAAAUUGGGUUUCUUAUGUUAAACAAAAUUGAAUAUCCUUAUUCAAUGUUUUCAUGUUA
This is a long non-coding RNA of Malus domestica (apple), 428 nucleotides long. RefSeq lists it as uncharacterized. Lineage: Eukaryota; Viridiplantae; Streptophyta; Magnoliopsida; Rosales; Rosaceae. The record is from RefSeq and is a predicted model, not a curated record.